GUGCUCGCUUUGGCAGCACAUAUACUCAAAUCGAAAUGAUACAGAGAUUAGCGUGGCCCCUGCACAAGGAUGACCGUAGAGUUCAGUGGCUGCACAGCAGAAU
Molecule: small nuclear RNA, 103 nt
Organism: Ailuropoda melanoleuca (giant panda)
Lineage: Eukaryota; Metazoa; Chordata; Mammalia; Carnivora; Ursidae
Source: Ensembl